UGGGGAAUCAUGGUCAAUGGGCGAAAGCCUGAACCUGCGACGCCGCGUGAGUGAUGAAGGUCGUAAGAUCGUAAAACUCUUUUCAGGGAUCUUAAAGCCUGUCUGUCAACAACAGGCAGGUCUGACUCUCCCUGGAAGAAGCCCCAGCCAACUACGUACCAGCAGCUGCGGUAAUACGUAGGGGGCGAGCGUUAUUCGGAAUUACUGGGUGUAAAGGGUAUGUAGGCGGCCCUUCAAGGCGCGUGUCAAAGUCCAGUGCUCAACGCUGGGUGUGCGCGCGAUACUGACGGGCUUGAGGGCUGGAGAGGUGAGCGGAAUUCCCGGUGUAGUGGUAAAAUACGUAGAGAUCGGGAGGAACACCAGCGGCGCAGGCGGCUCACUAGACAGUUUCUGACGCUAAGAUACGAAAGCGUGGGGAGCAAACA
RNAcentral lists this ribosomal RNA (425 nucleotides) under uncultured prokaryote. RNAcentral's name for it is "bacterial SSU rRNA". It matches the Rfam family "Bacterial small subunit ribosomal RNA", at positions 355 to 774 of the family's 1533-position model. The record is from RNAcentral.